Molecule: ribosomal RNA, 402 nt
Filed under: uncultured bacterium
Lineage: Bacteria
Description: bacterial SSU rRNA
Rfam family: Bacterial small subunit ribosomal RNA
Source: RNAcentral
UGGGGAAUCUUGCACAAUGGGGGCAACCCUGAUGCAGCGACGCCGCGCGAGCGAUGAAGCCCUUCGGGGCGUAAAGCUCUUUCGACCGGAACGAUAAUGGCGGUACCGGGAGAAGAAGCUGCGGCUAACUACGUGCCAGCAGCCGCGGUAAUACGUAGGCAGCAAGCGUUGUUCGGAGUUACUGGGCGUAAAGAGUGCGUAGGCGGUUUUCUAAGUUCGGUGUGAAAUCUCCCGGCUUAACUGGGAGGGUGCGCCGAAGACUGGGAAGCUGGAGUGUGGGAAAGGCAGGCGGAAUUCCUGGUGUAUCGGUGAAAUGCGUAGAUAUCAGGAGGAACACCGGCGGUGUAGACGGCUUGCUAGACCAUAACUGACGCUGAGGCACGAAAGCGUGGGUAGCAAACA